This 456-nucleotide ribosomal RNA is filed under the name uncultured bacterium. RNAcentral describes it as "bacterial SSU rRNA". It matches the Rfam family "Bacterial small subunit ribosomal RNA", at positions 96 to 562 of the family's 1533-position model. The record is from RNAcentral.
UGGCGGACGGGUGAGUAACGCGUGGAUAACCUGCCUGUAAGACUGGGAUAACACCGGGAAACCGGUGCUAAUACCGGGCGUGCUGUAGAAUGGGCAUCCAUUUUACAGGAAAGGACUUUAAGUCUGCUUACAGAUGGGUCCGCGUCCCAUUAGCUAGCUGGUGGGGUAAAAGCCUACCAGGGCGACGAUGGGUAGCCGGCCUGAGAGGGUGGUCGGCCACACUGGGACUGGGACACGGCCCAGACUCCUACGGGAGGCAGCAGUGGGGAAUAUUGCGCAAUGGGCGGAAGCCUGACGCAGCGACGCCGCGUGGGUGACGAAGGCCUUCGGGUCGUAAAACCCUGUUGCAGGGGACGAAGGAAGUGACGGUACCCUGUGAGGAAGCCCCGGCUAACUACGUGCCAGCAGCCGCGGUAAAACGUAGGGGGCGAGCGUUGUCCGGAAUUACUGGGCGUA